This 432-nucleotide ribosomal RNA is filed under the name Sathon falcatus. RNAcentral's name for it is "partial 28S ribosomal RNA". The record is from RNAcentral. Lineage: Eukaryota; Metazoa; Arthropoda; Insecta; Hymenoptera; Braconidae.
AAACCGUUUGGGGGUAAACCUGUGAAACCCAAAAGAUCGAAUGAAGAGAUUCAUCGUCAGCGUAUUCAGUAUUAAUGCAGGCUAUGAUGUGAUAAUAGAAUCCUUGUGGUCACUAAAUUAUACUUGCUUGUAUUAUUUUUGCUGGGUAUGUCGGCGUGCACUUCUCUUCUAGUAGAACGUCGCAACCCGUUGAAUGUUUAUCUAUGGUCUAAAUGGUAGCCUUUGAUAUUUCAUUAUAUUGAAGACCUUUAGUAUCCUGAUAAACUGUUUGACGGUAUACACAUAGUAUUGAGCCGCAAAUUAUUUGCGUUAGACUUAUCGCAAGUAAGGCUUUAUUUUGGUAGUGCGGAUUUAAUCCCGUCGCUGGAAAAAGCCUACUGUUAGCUGUGUAAUGUCUUUAACUGGCUUAUUUAUUGGUUAGCGACGCUACUG